CCUACGGGAGGCAGCAGUGGGGAAUAUUGCGCAAUGGGCGAAAGCCUGACGCAGCGACGCCGCGUGAGGGAUGAAGGUCCUCGGAUCGUAAACCUCUGUCAGCAGGGAAGAACGGUCACUGUGCUAAUCAGCAGUGCAUUGACGGUACGUGCAAAGGACGCAUCGGGUAAUUCCGUGCCAGCAGCCGCGGUAAUACGGAGGGUGCGAGCGUUAAUUGGAUUUACUGGGCGUAAAGCGCUCGUAGGCGGUAUGUCAAGUCAAGGGUGAAAUCCCCGCGCUCAACGUGGGAACUGCCGUUGACACUGGCAAACUUGAGUAUGUGAGAGGAUAGUGGAAUUCCAGGUGUAGGAGUGAAAUCCGUAGAUAUCUGGAGGAACAUCAGUGGCGAAGGCGACUAUCUGGCACAUAACUGACGCUGAGGAGCGAAAGCGUGGGUAGCAAACAGGAUUAGAUACCCCAGUAGUC
This 465-nucleotide ribosomal RNA is filed under the name uncultured bacterium. Its description in RNAcentral is "partial 16S ribosomal RNA". It matches the Rfam family "Bacterial small subunit ribosomal RNA", at positions 338 to 795 of the family's 1533-position model. The record is from RNAcentral.